Molecule: ribosomal RNA, 700 nt
Filed under: gamma proteobacterium Ae-M24
Lineage: Bacteria; Pseudomonadati; Pseudomonadota; Gammaproteobacteria
Description: bacterial SSU rRNA
Rfam family: Bacterial small subunit ribosomal RNA
Source: RNAcentral
GACGCUCAGAUGUGAAAAGCGUGGGGAGCAAACAGGAUUAGAUACCUUGGUAGUCCACGCUGUAAACGAUGUCUACUUGGAGGUUGCGGUCUUGAACUGUGGCUUUUCGGAGCUAACGCGUUAAGUAGACCGCCUGGGGAGUACGGUCGCAAGAUUAAAACUCAAAUGAAUUGACGGGGGCCCGCACAAGCGGUGGAGCAUGUGGUUUAAUUCGAUGCAACGCGAAGAACCUUACCUACUCUUGACAUCCAGAGAAUUCGCUAGAGAUAGCUUAGUGCCUUCGGGAACUCUGAGACAGGUGCUGCAUGGCUGUCGUCAGCUCGUGUUGUGAAAUGUUGGGUUAAGUCCCGCAACGAGCGCAACCCUUAUCCUUGUUUGCCAGCGAGUAAUGUCGGGAACUCCAGGGAGACUGCCGGUGAUAAACCGGAGGAAGGUGGGGACGACGUCAAGUCAUCAUGGCCCUUACGAGUAGGGCUACACACGUGCUACAAUGGCAUAUACAGAGGGCAGCGAGGCCGCGAGGUGGAGCGAAUCCCAGAAAGUAUGUCGUAGUCCGGAUUGGAGUCUGCAACUCGACUCCAUGAAGUCGGAAUCGCUAGUAAUCGUGAAUCAGAAUGUCACGGUGAAUACGUUCCCGGGCCUUGUACACACCGCCCGUCACACCAUGGGAGUGGGCUGCACCAGAAGUAGAUAGCUUAAC